UUCUUUGCCUUUUUCAUUCAUUUGUUAGUUUUUAUGGGGUGGAAAUGAAAGAAGAGAGGUGAAAUAACUUUUUGUUGAAGGUAUUUUAACUGAUUUUAAUAUGGAAAGAGUGAUUAGGUCAAGUGCAAAAAGGUAAUAUUUUCAGUUUUCGGAACAUCUCUUGACUUGUCCAUAGGGGUAUGGAUGUGUAUUGGCUAAAUUUGUAAGUUACAUCAGAGCAAUCUUUCUGAAUUUUGGAUAUGUUUUUGGACUAGUACUAUACAUUACACACACAAAAAAUUUGACAAAAAGAUUAGGUCCAAUUUUUUUAAUGAGACAAAAAGUUAUAAAGAACUAAUAGAGGAAUUAAUUGUGGUCUGUGGCCAUAUAGG
RNAcentral lists this long non-coding RNA (371 nucleotides) under Mytilus galloprovincialis (Mediterranean mussel). Lineage: Eukaryota; Metazoa; Mollusca; Bivalvia; Mytilida; Mytilidae. The record is from RNAcentral.